Molecule: ribosomal RNA, 1488 nt
Filed under: Vibrio natriegens
Lineage: Bacteria; Pseudomonadati; Pseudomonadota; Gammaproteobacteria; Vibrionales; Vibrionaceae
Description: bacterial SSU rRNA
Rfam family: Bacterial small subunit ribosomal RNA
Source: RNAcentral
AUUGAACGCUGGCGGCAGGCCUAACACAUGCAAGUCGAGCGGAAACGAGUUAACUGAACCUUCGGGGGACGUUAACGGCGUCGAGCGGCGGACGGGUGAGUAAUGCCUAGGAAAUUGCCCUGAUGUGGGGGAUAACCAUUGGAAACGAUGGCUAAUACCGCAUGAUGCCUACGGGCCAAAGAGGGGGACCUUCGGGCCUCUCGCGUCAGGAUAUGCCUAGGUGGGAUUAGCUAGUUGGUGAGGUAAGGGCUCACCAAGGCGACGAUCCCUAGCUGGUCUGAGAGGAUGAUCAGCCACACUGGAACUGAGACACGGUCCAGACUCCUACGGGAGGCAGCAGUGGGGAAUAUUGCACAAUGGGCGCAAGCCUGAUGCAGCCAUGCCGCGUGUGUGAAGAAGGCCUUCGGGUUGUAAAGCACUUUCAGUCGUGAGGAAGGUAGUGUAGUUAAUAGCUGCAUUAUUUGACGUUAGCGACAGAAGAAGCACCGGCUAACUCCGUGCCAGCAGCCGCGGUAAUACGGAGGGUGCGAGCGUUAAUCGGAAUUACUGGGCGUAAAGCGCAUGCAGGUGGUUUGUUAAGUCAGAUGUGAAAGCCCGGGGCUCAACCUCGGAAUAGCAUUUGAAACUGGCAGACUAGAGUACUGUAGAGGGGGGUAGAAUUUCAGGUGUAGCGGUGAAAUGCGUAGAGAUCUGAAGGAAUACCGGUGGCGAAGGCGGCCCCCUGGACAGAUACUGACACUCAGAUGCGAAAGCGUGGGGAGCAAACAGGAUUAGAUACCCUGGUAGUCCACGCCGUAAACGAUGUCUACUUGGAGGUUGUGGCCUUGAGCCGUGGCUUUCGGAGCUAACGCGUUAAGUAGACCGCCUGGGGAGUACGGUCGCAAGAUUAAAACUCAAAUGAAUUGACGGGGGCCCGCACAAGCGGUGGAGCAUGUGGUUUAAUUCGAUGCAACGCGAAGAACCUUACCUACUCUUGACAUCCAGAGAACUUUUCAGAGAUGAAUUGGUGCCUUCGGGAACUCUGAGACAGGUGCUGCAUGGCUGUCGUCAGCUCGUGUUGUGAAAUGUUGGGUUAAGUCCCGCAACGAGCGCAACCCUUAUCCUUGUUUGCCAGCGAGUAAUGUCGGGAACUCCAGGGAGACUGCCGGUGAUAAACCGGAGGAAGGUGGGGACGACGUCAAGUCAUCAUGGCCCUUACGAGUAGGGCUACACACGUGCUACAAUGGCGCAUACAGAGGGCGGCCAACUUGCGAAAGUGAGCGAAUCCCAAAAAGUGCGUCGUAGUCCGGAUUGGAGUCUGCAACUCGACUCCAUGAAGUCGGAAUCGCUAGUAAUCGUGGAUCAGAAUGCCACGGUGAAUACGUUCCCGGGCCUUGUACACACCGCCCGUCACACCAUGGGAGUGGGCUGCAAAAGAAGUAGGUAGUUUAACCUUCGGGGGGACGCUUACCACUUUGUGGUUCAUGACUGGGGUGAAGGAACUACACC